RNAcentral lists this long non-coding RNA (282 nucleotides) under Brassica napus (rape). Its description in RNAcentral is "long non-coding RNA (BNAP_LNC024678)". Lineage: Eukaryota; Viridiplantae; Streptophyta; Magnoliopsida; Brassicales; Brassicaceae. The record is from RNAcentral.
CAAAAAAUCUACCAUGAAAGUUGUUCAGAUCCUUUCUUUUUAUUAUAUUUUGGUAUUUCCCUAUAUAUUAUAACAACAUGUGACCAUCAUUAAAAUUUUAAAAUAAAAAACAAACAUAUCUCCAAAAAGAAUAUAUGGAAAAUAUGCUAAUGACUAUUAUCUUACCAAAUACAUGAGAAGUUAGAUGUUUAAGAUUUUAAUGCUCUUCUGUCGUAUAAACAAAGGGAAUAAAAAGCCCAUUAAAGUUUAUUGAUCCAAUAAUUAUAUUUGUACCUCUCAAAC